RNAcentral lists this long non-coding RNA (3966 nucleotides) under Canis lupus familiaris (dog). RNAcentral's name for it is "lncRNA (ENSCAFG00000057542.1)". Lineage: Eukaryota; Metazoa; Chordata; Mammalia; Carnivora; Canidae. The record is from RNAcentral.
GUGUCCUUGGCUAGUACUCUGAUUCUGUAGGUCAACCCUGACCAAAGCAGGAGCUGUAGAAUAGCCUCCUAUUUGAUCUUCCUGCCUCCAGGCCUGCCUCGCUUAGAUCCAUCUUCCACAUAAUCUCCGUGAUUCAAAGGCCACAUCUAAUGAUGCAACUGCUCCUUCCAUUGCUCUCCAUCUUCUGCAGAAGAAAAAAGUCUGAGCUCUUCCCCAUGGCUUCUAAAGUAUUUGAUGUGAUGGUGAGGUUGAUAAAGGUGGCUAAUAUUUCCUGAGCAUUACUAUGUGCUAGAUCCACUGCACUCGAUGUAAAUUAUUUAAUCCCUUAAAGUCUUCUGGAAUAGAUAUUAUUAUCAUCCCUUUUUUAAGGAAAAAGAAACUGCUUUCAAGAUUUGUUUGCUUGGUUAGUAAGUGUUAGGGAAUAAAUUUGAUCAGGGUCAAUCAUUCCCCAGAGCACUCGCUCAUAACCUCUAAAAUACACUUCCUUGACUCCUCUAGACCAAAAUGACAGGUAAGAAUAAAGCCUUCUUUUUAUCUUGUAAGAGGUCCAGUGCAUAAUCGAACAGAAGUGGUUUCAGCAAAAGUCUUGCAAUUCAUUUGAGAAAAACUAAAGUAGUCAGCCAAGUGUCUCAGAUGAACCAGUGAUUCCUUAAAUCAAUGUUAGGUCCCAAGGCAAGUGGUAGUGGGGAGUGGUUUGUGCUUUGAAAUACUCACUUCCUCAACAUUUCGUACAAUUCACACUUUGAUCUGUUAUUGGAUGACACUUUCAAUGCCUCUUUUAUAAUAGGCCAAAUACAAGUUUCCAAAAGCCACUAGGGAAUAAACAUUUUAAAUUAGACUUGACAAAGGUGGCCUUCUAAUUAGUUCUUCUGUUUCAUGUUUUUCUCCAUUUUUGUCUAUACUGAAAUAUUUUUUGUGACUAUUGGAAAUUUUUACUUUGCUUUAUUUUUUGUGCUUAAUAAUAGAAAGACAAAAUAAAUGUACUGAAUAUAUAUAUAUAUAUAUAUUCAAAUCACAGAAAUCAUCAGAUAUGUCAGUAGCAAUGCUUUAGCUCCAACUGGACACCUUUUAAGAUUGAAGCAGGUCAGCAGGCUUUUGGAUUGUGUAGGAAAAAGGAAAACUCAAGAAUAUCCUUGUUUCUGGAAAUGUUUUAUGAACAGAUGUGAUUAAAGACCGAAGUGUGAUUGGGAUUCUCUAAUAUUAUUAACCCCUGGGAAUGGAAAACUUUCUUUCAAUAUACACAUAAAUGGUUUGAAUCACACAGUCAAUAUCUUCACGUGUGUUUUCAUAAAGAUGUUAUUUCUUAGAGCUGAGGACAUAUAUGGUUUUCUAGGUUUUCUGCAUGGAAAAGGAAGGGAUUCAAAUGCUUGAACUCUCAUUUUUCUAGCAUUGCUUUUUUUUUUUUUAAAUUUUACUUAACAGUCUCAUUCAGAGGAACUAUUUUUCUUUUUUGACAGCAACACUGCACUGUUGGCCUGGUGCUUGAUUUGCUAGGGAGCCAGUAGGCAGAGGCCUCUCUGGGGGAGACUGAGCAAGAAUUUGAGGAGCAGGUGGAUGGCUGGGAGAGCCGGUGGAAGGGAGCCUGUGAGGAAUGCUAUGGCAGCAAAUAGAAGUUUAGUCUGCCUCUGGUGACAAGGUCUUCAGAGACUCUUCCUCCAGGCUGGGUUUGCAGCUGGGAACAUCAAUCUCCCUCCUGACUACUAGGGCUUAUUAGCAUUCUGAGUAUCGCUUUCAAUUAAAUUUCUCAAAUGCUCAUUUAGUUUCUAGUUAAUAAGGCAGGAUUGGAUGUCAUGUAUGAUCCAGCAGGUUAUUUUUAAAGGAUAAAAAUAAAAGGAGCCCUGUGAUAUGUUAAAUGGCAGGCCUGGUUCCUCUGUAAACAUGGUACCCAAACCACUGGCCACUGUUGGCCUUGCAAAUGGACACAGGGCAUUUUGAAAGUUAUUUUUCCCUAAUGGCUGAUUUCAAAUAUUCACUCCUAGGAAAACCAACACAUUGUUCCCUGAUGGCUGCACAAAUCCAAUCAGCUUUUUUAGCCCAAAUUAUUCAAGGUUUGUGUAGUAAAGGAGUCCUACAAGUAGGGAACAGAGGUAGUUCUAAAGUGGUGCUGCAGAUAGGAUCUGUCAGACCCUGAACACCUUUUUUUUGAGGUGAUAAUGAUAAUAAUGCAAAUAAUUGCAGUGAGAGACACUAUUUACUAAGUGUCUUCUAUCUCUCUGUUACUGUAGUCAGCGUUCACUUAAUUUUCAUAUAAUCCUGUGAGACAGGACUCAUAUCCAAUGUCAGAUGGUAAGACUGAGGCACAGAGCUUAAUUUGCUCAUGAUCAAGAACAAUUUUGUACUAAUAGAGAAAUGGCAAUUGUACAAAUAAGAGUCAGGCUUUUAACAUUGGUCUUGUCCUUUCACUCUUCUCCAUCUUCUUAAAGUCUGAAAACAUAGUGUGGAACAGUCUUUCAUAGACUUACUGGCUGACAGCCUACUCAGGAGGAAGGGUGAUUGAGUGUGAGGCAGAGAAAAGGAUCAUGGUGCCCUCAUCGUGUCAGAAGAGUUGUGAGGAGAAGAUGUAGAAAAUCAUCACUUUCCCCUCAAGACCAUGUGUUUAUGUCCUACCUGUACUCCUAACUCAGGGCAGUGGAGGAUUGAAUGCUCUAGGGCUCUGUAAUCAAAACCUACUCUGAGCUCCAACUGUGCCUUUUUUCUAGUUUAGUGAAUCCAGAAGAGUGGCCUUAUUCUGAACCCAGGCUGUUUUCAAAGGCAUGACUUUCUGCCAUCAGGUUAGAAACCUUGAACCUUGGUCACAGGGGUGGAAACAUGAACUGGGCUUGGUCAUUCCCAACCUUGGAUUCCUUUGGACAAAGGAAUGGCCCAGAGGUGGUGUUUGUACUUCUGUGAGCCAGGCCUGUCCAGAUUGUAUUUGGAACGAAUCCCAGUUCUGGCACUAAAUACUCAUGACCUUGAGGGAACAUUUGACCUUUCUCUAUGAGACAAAAAUCAUGGGAUUUGAUUAUAUUAAUUCUCUACUUCCAACAAGUUCUAGUAAUUUAUUAUUCCCUAAAAGGAAAAUAAACUGAGAGCUUUCCAUUCAAUAUUUUUGGGUCCUAUAAAAUAUCAGAGAUAGAGACAGGGGGUGUUUUGAGGAAAAAUCUCUGUUAGGUAGCUAUGAAUAGCUAAAAUAAAGGUAUUUUUUAAAAUGAGUUUUAUAAAAAGACUGUACACUGGGGUUUGAUGCCUCUUUUGAAAUAGUCUUUGAAAACCAACCCACUCACAAGAAACUUUGUAAUCUUUGGUAUAUUUUUUGGCACAUGACUCCAGACCCAUGUAGGGAAGGAGGUUUCACUGGAACAGAGUUUAUAAAAGGCUAAGAGGCUAUGAUUAUAGCGCAAGAGCUUUGUAUAGAAAUGUGUAAACAGGAAACAAUAAGUGGCAUUUGAAAUAAGAGGCCCAAGGGAGAAAAAGAAUUCAUGAAGAAAAGAUGUUAAAAUAAAUACUUGCUGAGUACGUAAUACAUUCAACAAAAAGCUAAACUUUUAAAUUUACAUUUUCAAUAGAAAAUCAGAAGGUGGCAGUACUGCUUACUGAAUAGACUCAUAUGACAGCUCCAUGGAAACCUAUAGAGAGAAUAAGCCAUUUUGUAGAUUAUGAGCAGCAGCUAGAAGUUUAUCACUAAAAAUGAAAUGAUUCUCGGUAAAAUUCAUCCCUAAAACUUCUGAGUUUUACCUGUGGGUGGGGCACACUAACCCAGUUAUGGAUGGCUUUUACUUCCAGGAUGCAAUGAACCCAGGACGCACUGAAGCUUACCAGAACUAAGAGUGAGACUGGCCCUUUUCUGGUCUUUGGCCACAUUUAUUGCCAUGAGAACUAAAAGGUAAUGGCCUAACGUGGGUCAGUCCCCAGAACUGCAGCAUCAGAGUUACCUGGAAAUUUUUAAAGAAAUGUUGGUUCCAAAAAAGAAAAAAAAAAAAAAAAAAA